UACGAAGGGGGCGAGCGUUGUUCGGAAUCACUGGGCGUAAAGGGCGCGUAGGCGGUUUGCCAAGUCAGGCGUGAAAGCCCCGGGCUCAACCUGGGAACGGCGCUUGAGACUGGCGGACUCGAGUUCGGGAGAGGAUGGUGGAAUUCCCAGUGUAGAGGUGAAAUUCGUAGAGAUUGGGAAGAACACCGAGGGCGAAGGCAGCCAUCUGGACCGACACUGACGCUGAGGCGCGACAGCGUGGGGAGCAAACAGG
This 253-nucleotide ribosomal RNA is filed under the name uncultured bacterium. RNAcentral describes it as "partial 16S ribosomal RNA". It matches the Rfam family "Bacterial small subunit ribosomal RNA", at positions 524 to 776 of the family's 1533-position model. The record is from RNAcentral.